GUGCCAGCAGCCGCGGUAAUACGUAGGUGGCGAGCGUUGUCCGGAAUUACUGGGUGUAAAGGGCGUGUAGGCGGGAAUGUAAGUCAGAUGUGAAAUUCCGUGGCUUAACCACGGGGCUGCAUCUGAAACUAUGUUACUUGAGUGCUGGAGAGGGAAGCGGAAUUCCUAGUGUAGCGGUGAAAUGCGUAGAUAUUAGGAGGAACACCAGUGGCGAAGGCGGCUUUCUGGACAGUAACUGACGCUGAGGCGCGAAAGCGUGGGGAGCAAACAGGAUUAGAUACCCUGGUAGUCCACGCUGUAAACGAUGGAUACUAGGUGUAGGGGGUAUCGACCCCUUCUGUGCCGGAGUUAACACAAUAAGUAUCCCACCUGGGGAGUACGGCCGCAAGGUUGAA
This 395-nucleotide ribosomal RNA is filed under the name uncultured bacterium. Its description in RNAcentral is "bacterial SSU rRNA". It matches the Rfam family "Bacterial small subunit ribosomal RNA", at positions 505 to 898 of the family's 1533-position model. The record is from RNAcentral.